GUAGGUGGCAAGCGUUGUCCGGAAUUAUUGGGCGUAAAGCGCGCGCAGGUGGUUCUUUAAGUCUGAUGUGAAAGCCCCCGGCUCAACCGGGGAGGGUCAUUGGAAACUGGGGAACUUGAGUGCAGGAGAGGAAAGUGGAAUUCCACGUGUAGCGGUGAAAUGCGUAGAUAUGUGGAGGAACACCAGUGGCGAAGGCGACUUUCUGGCCUGUAACUGACACUGAGGCGCGAAAGCGUGGGGAGCAAACAGGGAUCAGAUACCCUGGUAGUCCACGCCGUAAACGAUGAGUGCUAAGUGUUGGGGGGGUUUCCGCCCCCUCAGUGCUGCAGCUAACGCAUUAAGCACUCCGCCUGGGAGUACGGUCGCAAGACUG
This 373-nucleotide ribosomal RNA is filed under the name uncultured organism. Its description in RNAcentral is "partial 16S ribosomal RNA". It matches the Rfam family "Bacterial small subunit ribosomal RNA", at positions 527 to 896 of the family's 1533-position model. The record is from RNAcentral.